This 428-nucleotide ribosomal RNA is filed under the name uncultured bacterium. RNAcentral describes it as "bacterial SSU rRNA". It matches the Rfam family "Bacterial small subunit ribosomal RNA", at positions 96 to 518 of the family's 1533-position model. The record is from RNAcentral.
CGGCGGACGGGUGAGUAAUGCCUAGGGAAUCUGCCAGGGUAGUGGGGGAUAACGUUCGGAAACGGACGCUAAUACCGCAUACGUCCUACGGGAGAAAGCAGGGGACCUUCGGGCCUUGCGCUAUCAGAUGAGCCUAGGUCGGAUUAGCUAGUUGGUGAGGUAAUGGCUCACCAAGGCGACGAUCCGUAACUGGUCUGAGAGGAUGAUCAGUCACACUGGAACUGAGACACGGUCCAGACUCCUACGGGAGGCAGCAGUGGGGAAUAUUGGACAAUGGGCGAAAGCCUGAACCAGCCAAGUAAGCGUGCAGGAAGACCGGCCCUAGUGGGUUAGUAAACUGUCUUUUAUACAGGGAUAAAGUGACGUACGUGUACGUUUUUGUAGGUACUGUAUGAAUAAGGACCGGCUAAUUCCGUGCCAGCAGCCGC